RNAcentral lists this long non-coding RNA (1219 nucleotides) under Panax ginseng (ginseng). RNAcentral describes it as "long non-coding RNA (PGIN_LNC007182)". Lineage: Eukaryota; Viridiplantae; Streptophyta; Magnoliopsida; Apiales; Araliaceae. The record is from RNAcentral.
UUUGUGACGCCCCCAAAAUAGGUCCAUUCCACCCAACCCAUUCUGAGUCGCAAAAUACAUGGUACAGAAAUAACUACAACUUUGACAAUACAGAUGUCGUGUAGAAUACGACAAUACAACUGUGAGUUUGAAUACAAAUAUUGUCUUCUAGACAAUAUACACACCCAAAUAAGUCUUCAUUAAUUAUUCAUACACUAUUUUACAGAAAUAAUGAGGACAGCUAAAACAUCUUCCUAGAACCAUCACUCCAUACCCCGACUCGAUCCUGCUAUGUUCUCACCUCCUGAGAAGAAAAAGGAACAACAAGGAAAAGGGUGAGCUCAACUAGCCCAGUAAAGAAUAUUAUGACUAAGAUAAUAUACAACAAAUUAUCGUUAGUCUUCAACAGGGAAAAAUCUAAUAGAAUACAAUAGACAACAAGUUUUAGAUCAACAAAUGCAGCGGAAACAGCAAUCCAUUAGAAGAGUCACGUAGAGAAAGAAUUCUACUGUCUUCUAAGGUUUAAAAGUCCAUCAUCAAUAGUUUAUCCCUGUAAUAACAAUCAAUAUACAUCUUUAAUCAUCUUUGCACUACAGGCCAAAGAUAUUCAUUUGUAUCACCAGUUGGUCAUGUUCAUCUCAACACCUGUUCAUCUUUGCACUACAGGCCAAAGAUAUUCAUCAGUUAAUCGUUCAUCUUUGCACUACAGGCCAAAGAUAUUCAUUUAUAUCACCAUUUAGGACUGAGGAUGAUGAAAAACAUUUUUAAAGAAACGAAUCCAGUGAAACAAAAUGACAAGGAUUAAGGAUUAAGGAUUCGUACUUUGUUUUACCCAUGUCCAAAAAUACUUCGAAAAUAAUCAUAUUGGUGUAAAAUUCAAGAAUGAUCAAAACAUGGAUACAAUCAAAGCUAGUAUCCAUAAUAGAUAUUUUGGACAAAAAGAAAAAAAAAUUUAUUUUUCGGUGAAUAGUGCCGUUUUCUUGAAUAGUGUCGUAUACGUGAAUAGUAACCCCGACACAACAAGUUCCAAAUUUGAUAAAAAAAGUUCACCAAUACUUCGGCAUAAUGAUAUUGAAGAAAAAAUAUCAUUUAAGAAGAAAAUAAUACCCCUUACCUCAAAAUAACCGUACUUCUGACUGAAUUUCGGUAUAGUGCUGACAGAAACCCGCACCGUAUAGCAACACUCAAAGUAUACUCACAAGAAUACGCUCGAUAAUUUAGAGAGAGAAAGAGAGAAAAC